AUGAAGGAGGCAGCUCUCAAGGGCCCUUUUUCCCCGCAGCGAACCCAGUGGGUCGAGCCAAACCUCCCGCCGGCGAUCUGCAGUAGCACCCCGCUGGUGAGCCAGCUCCUUCCCGCGCUUCUCCCCGGUCUCCUCUCUCUCUUCUCACCCUCUCUUCUCUCUCGAGCAGGAUGCAGCAACUCCAGCACAACAAUGGCGCCGCCCAUGGAUCUCAGAACUGCCGCUGUCAUGCCCGCAUCAUUCGGAACCUUCACCGACACCCGCCGUCGCGAUCCUGCAUUUGCGUGUCAGCACCACAACAAUGGCGCCGCCCAGAUCUCAGAACUCCCAUCGGCAUGCCCGCGUCAUUCGUCGGAAUCUUCACCGACACCCGCCGUCGCGAUUCUGCAUGUGCGUGUCAGCAGGAGCAUCUCCCGCAUUAGCCUCAACUGCCUCUCGUCGUCUCCUUCUCUUUUGAGUCACAGGCCGGCGGCGAGCUCGUGGAGGCAUGGAGGCAUGGAGGCCCGGCAGCCAUGGCUUGCUGCGAAGGAGAGAGAGAGAGAGGGAGGUGAGAGAUAG
This 558-nucleotide ribosomal RNA is filed under the name Triticum aestivum (bread wheat). RNAcentral's name for it is "partial small subunit ribosomal RNA". The record is from RNAcentral. Lineage: Eukaryota; Viridiplantae; Streptophyta; Magnoliopsida; Poales; Poaceae.